GGCAGUUCCCCAUCUCACUAGGGUAUUCUCCUCUCUUCCUUGGCAGAAAUGAAUCAAGGUUAUUUUUCUUCCAAUGCCGCCGAAAUUUUUCAUCCCAUCGCUAAUUGGCAAACGCUUCAAAGGGUUAGGCACAAAUUAUCGUUAUUGUUCAUAAUAUUUUAUAAUUGUCUUUUUCGUUUCUUCCCCUGAUUAUUAUUUCUUUAAUUUGUUCAUCAAUUAUGAUUUUCGAACCCUACUUAGGGAAGAAUUGUGGCCAAAAUCAAAGAGGCGUUGGCAAUAAUCGAGUUAUGAUCAAUUGAAUCUGCGUCGCUCUUCAAAUUGAUAGUCUGGGACUGAAACCCAAAUGGAUCGAACCCAUGUGAAAAAAUCACACUCGCGAUUUUGGGAUUUUGUUACGGAAGGAUCAUAUGUUAUUGCUCGUGGAUUAGGUUAAGAAAUAUGCUUCAGUUGUUCUGAUUCACAUCAACUGUAUUUAAUUUAAGUUGAUGUAGUUCUUUUUAAGAGGUUGUAUACAUUUACUUCAGUUCAUUCUUAUUUCUGAUAAUUGCAUUUAAAUUAUUUUGACAGGAUUGUUAUCUAGUCCAUGUUUGGAGUCGAUGUCAAGUUAAACAUAUUUGUGUUAUCUGCUGCAAAGAAAUUAGUUCAGGUACAUUUGUCCAUUUUUUAAGUUUCAAUGCAUUUACAUUGAAUUCGAGAUGUGUAAUUCAUGUUCCAGAAAAUUAAGGGUGGCUCGAUUCAAAUUAUGGAAAUUAGAUAUAUCUAUUCAUUCUUUUAUUUUACUUGAAUGUACUAAUCACUAAUUCACGAGGCUGUACCAGAAAUGAAAAUAUAUUUUGCAGCUCAAAGCAACCUCUAUGUGACCACUUAGUAUUCUCUAGUGAAACAAGCUAGUCAAUUUGAAGAGUACUUCUCAAAUGAUCAGGCAAGUUAUUUUACCUGGUUAAUAAGUAUACAGUGAUGCACAUAUAUUUGUUUUCGGUUUUGUGGCAGGAAGCUGCAAAUUAAACUAUGUUCUAUUACUCUAUUGCAGGUGAAAACACCUUUAGAAGAGCAAAUAACAAAUUCUUUUCAAUCCACCUUUGUAAAAGUAGCGUGUCGAUUUCGGAGUUGAUAUUUCACAAAAAAAGUUAUGCGGAAUGCAGAAUAAGACAUUUGCUUCCUUUUUUAUGUAUAGUUUGUUAGGUGUUUUUGAAGACUGUUGUUCGAGGAUAGUGAUAGAGGGAGGACCAACUUCCAGAUGAUUAUUCAUGAUUAUGUAUUCAUACAACUAUCUGGCCUUUAAUGAUUAAUUGUAUUGAUGUGUAAUUAUUUUAGCAGCAAAUGAAGUGUAUAUAUAAUUAAUAUCAUAUAUAAU
This 1354-nucleotide long non-coding RNA is filed under the name Erythranthe guttata (spotted monkey flower). RNAcentral's name for it is "long non-coding RNA (EGUT_LNC000393)". The record is from RNAcentral. Lineage: Eukaryota; Viridiplantae; Streptophyta; Magnoliopsida; Lamiales; Phrymaceae.